RNAcentral lists this signal recognition particle RNA (277 nucleotides) under Microcebus murinus (gray mouse lemur). RNAcentral's name for it is "Metazoan signal recognition particle RNA (ENSMICG00000038509.2)". It matches the Rfam family "Metazoan signal recognition particle RNA". Rfam says of the family: The signal recognition particle (SRP) is a universally conserved ribonucleoprotein. Lineage: Eukaryota; Metazoa; Chordata; Mammalia; Primates; Cheirogaleidae. The record is from RNAcentral.
GCUGGAUGCAGUGGUGCACAAGUAUAGUACCAGCUGCUUGGGAGGCGAGAGGAUCACUUGAGCCCUGGAGUUCUGGGCUGUGGUGUGCUAUGUGGAUCAGGUGUACAUUCUAUGGUGACCUCCUGGGAGCAGAGGACCACCAGGUUGCCUAAGGAUCUGUGAACCAGCCCAGGUCGGAAAUGGAGCAGGUCAGAACUCCUGUGCUGAUCUGUAGUGGGAUGGUGCCUGUGAAUAGCCACUGCACUCCAGCCUGGCAACAUAAUAAGACCCCAUCUCU